RNAcentral lists this unclassified non-coding RNA (21 nucleotides) under Mus musculus (house mouse). RNAcentral describes it as "oocyte_clustered_small_RNA13920". The record is from RNAcentral. Lineage: Eukaryota; Metazoa; Chordata; Mammalia; Rodentia; Muridae.
CUUAUCAACACUCACGCCCCA